ACUUAAGCAUAUCAAUAAGCGGAGGAAAAGAAACCAACAGGGAUUGCCCCAGUAACGGCGAGUGAAGCGGCAACAGCUCAAAUUUGAAAUCUGGCCUCGGCCCGAGUUGUAAUUUGCAGAGGAUGUUUUCGGCGCGGCGCCUCCCGAGUCCCCUGGAACGGGGCGCCACAGAGGGUGAGAGCCCCGUAUGGUAGGACGCCUAGCCUGUGUAAAGCUCCUUCGACGAGUCGAGUAGUUUGGGAAUGCUGCUCAAAAUGGGAGGUAAAUUCCUUCUAAAGCUAAAUACCGGCCAGAGACCGAUAGCGCACAAGUAGAGUGAUCGAAAGAUGAAAAGCACUUUGAAAAGAGGGUCAAACAGCACGUGAAAUUGUUGAAAGGGAAGCGCUCGUGACCAGACUUGCGCCGGGCCGAUCAUCCGGUGUUCUCACCGGUGCACUCGGCCCGGCUCAGGCCAGCAUCGGUUUUCGCGGGGGGACAAAAGCCCGGGGAACGUGGCUCCCCCGGGAGUGUUAUAGCCCCGGGCACAAUACCCUCGCGGGGACCGAGGACCGCGCUCUGCAAGGAUGCUGGCGUAAUGGUCACCAGCGACCCGUCUUGAAACACGGACCAAGGAGUCAAGGUUUUGCGCGAGUGUUUGGGUGUGAAACCCGCACGCGUAAUGAAAGUGAACGCAGGUGAGAGCUUCGGCGCAUCAUCGACCGAUCCUGAUGUCCUCGGAUGGAUUUGAGUAAGAGCGUAAUGCCUUGGACCCGAAAGAUGGUGAACUAUGCCUGGAUAGGGUGAAGCCAGAGGAAACUCUGGUGGAGGCUCGCAGCGGUUCUGACGUGCAAAUCGAUCGUCAAAUCAGGGCAUGGGGGCGAAAGACUAAUCGAACCAUCUAGUAGCUGGUUACCGCCGAAGUUUCCCUCAGGAUAGCAGUGUUGAUCUUCAGUUUUAUGAGGUAAAGCGAAUGAUUAGGGACUCGGGGGCGCUAUAUUGCCUUCAUCCAUUCUCAAACUUUAAAUAUGUAAGAAGCCCUUGUUGCUUAGCUGAACGUGGGCAUUCGAAUGUACCAACACUAGUGGGCCAUUUUUGGUAAGCAGAACUGGCGA
This 1091-nucleotide ribosomal RNA is filed under the name Camarops tubulina. RNAcentral's name for it is "eukaryotic LSU rRNA". It matches the Rfam family "Eukaryotic large subunit ribosomal RNA", at positions 32 to 1156 of the family's 3401-position model. Lineage: Eukaryota; Fungi; Ascomycota; Sordariomycetes; Boliniales; Boliniaceae. The record is from RNAcentral.